RNAcentral lists this long non-coding RNA (2517 nucleotides) under Equus asinus (donkey). RNAcentral's name for it is "lncRNA (ENSEASG00005036675.1)". The record is from RNAcentral. Lineage: Eukaryota; Metazoa; Chordata; Mammalia; Perissodactyla; Equidae.
AGUUUCCCAGGCCCCAGUUGAGGUCUUCUACUUAGUAUGCUUUCUUACGUGGUGGCCUGAACCGCGAAGGUGUUUUGCUUUCACGAGAAACGCCAGGGGGUGGAGGAGUGUGUAGUGGUAUUUCCGGUGGGGUGAACACGUCUGCGCUUCGCGGUUGCCAUAGAAACCUGACGUCAAUAUGGCGACCGUGACGACAUUUCUAUAGAGACACAUGUAGCCUGGAGAAAAGAGCAGGUCUCGUCCUUAGGUGUUUGGGACUCAGCUGAGGGUGUGGGUCCCCGCGGUGGGGGCUGAGCCUCCUCGGGGUGUAGGGAGACAAAGGGACCCAGAUCCAAGUCGCCUCUUUCCUGCUUUAGGAUUCGGUGCCUUGGCUGUCUGCUAGUCCAUGUGCCGUCUUAUCCCCCGAUUCUCCUUCUAGUGGACCGUCAGAGAAGGGUGUGGACUCUGAGCCUCAGAAACAGGAGCUGAUACAGAAGAACCAAGUGUGAUAUUGAAUCUGCUAGACAGGUUCCUGGAGCAAGAGUGAAGAGAUCACGGUCCCAUCAAUGGGACACUUUAGUGCAUGGAGCCUGAAAUAGUAUUGUAUUUUUAAGAGAAUACACAUCAUUGACUUGCAUCAUGGGCUGUUCUUCCUUCUCCUUAUAGGGUCCAGGCCUGCUUACUGGUAGAGAAGAUCUUAUAUGAAGCAGAAACUCCACGUCACCUCAGAUGAAUCCCGCAGAGGACUAAAUGGGAGGUACCACCCUCCUAGGGAUAAGACAGACACAAAACCAAUUCCAAAAUCUACCAUGAGACCUAACCAAGGAUUAAAGAGAAAGUAAAACCCUAGUUCAUGCCUGUGAGAAGAACCAAGACUGAAAUCACACAAGGGUUACUGCAUCCUUCACUCUCUAUCCGGGAGUGAGAUCCUGUCAGAAGGUAGUAGCCCAUUAGCACUAUGCAAAAGUAUAGAAGUUUGGGUUAUAAGAUGCCUCAGUUUCCCGAGGUGGAAGACUUUCCCCACUCAACCCCAUCAUUUCCCGUUUAGAUACUGGGUUUCCAGGACUCAAGAUGAAGGUUGGUCUGUACUUACUUGGAAUGGAGUCUCUUUCGGGUGGGUGCUGACAUCUGUCUCGCUCCCUGUGGACAUUUCUACUUAUGCCGUUCUAGAAAUCAAGAGAGGGAAGAUGUGGGAUGCAGAUGUAGAAUUAGAUGGACAGUGCCUGGCACACAGUAAACACUCAAUACACGUUAAUAAAUAAAGGAGAUGUAGAGGCAGGAAUAAGCAGGAAAUAAAACUAAGUAUAUGUCCUCUCAGUCUGUUAUAUACAUAUGAAUCUUUCAAAGAGUGUUGGGAUUACACUGUACUUAUUAUUUAGUUACCUACUUUUAAGAGAAUACGUUGUUUUUAGUUCUAAAAAUUAUACUUUUUCUUGGGGAAAAAAUAACCUGUAGAAAAUGGAGAAAGAUGCCACCUGGUCAUCUGCAUCAGAAUCCCAGGUGUGAAAGUCAACUAGGGGGAUUGGCAAAGGGUGAGGUAAUAGCGGGGAGUGAGGGAUGUGCGUGAAUUCCAUUGUAUGGGCCAAAGCUUUCUGGAAUUUUCCACACACUGGUGGUGAUCCUUCUGUAUUUGUGCCCAUCCUGGUAUUUUCAAGCCCUGAGGCUAGAAGUCCAGCCCCAUGUGAACUAAAUAGAAAGCUGCACAAGUUAGUAUAUGAAUAAUUGGUAUAAAGAAGUUUGAGACAUGGAAACAUGCACACACAGAAGCAGUGUCAAAUAACUUGUUUUGAUCUGCUGCUUUUACUUUUAUAAAACAGUAAACUGUGAACAUUUUUCCAAAGCAAUGAAUAUAUAAGCAUCAUAUUUGUAAUCAACUCAUAAUUAUUUUAUGUUUUCAACAUUUUAUACAAUAAACGUUCUAUAUUUAAAACACUAUGGAAAUGCAGAUUUGUAAAAUGAGGGGCUGGCCGAGUGGUUGAGUUUGUAUGCUCCACUUCCGUGGCCCAGGGUUUCGCCGGUUCGGGUCCUGGGCGCUGACAUGGCACCACUCAUCAGGCCACGCUGAGGCGGUGUCGCACAUAGCACAACUAGAAGGACCUACAACUAGAAUAUACAACUAUGUACUGGGGGGCUUUGGGGAGAAGAAAAAAAAAAAGAUUGGCAAUAGAUGUUAGCUCAGGGUCAAUCUUAAAAAAAAUUGUAAAAUGAAAGUAAUCCUCUAUCUCCCACCAACCCAUACACAUUGAAUUAGUAUCAAAGAAAUCUUUUUAAUGUGUUAUUUUCACACCAAAGUAUUUGAUCAUGUUUUUAAAUCAAUAAAUGUAUUUCUGCACUAUCAUAUGGUGACUUGGUUUGUAGGUUUUCCUAUUUUAAAAAAUAUCUCAAUAACUUUUUCAGAUUACCAGUUGAUACUUUUUGUUUUUUUUAACAAGUAUCAAACUUUAUGGAAAUGUAUAUUAAAAACCUGAAAUUAUUUGUCUCUCCCUUCUGCCUCCACCUUCUGCCCAUCAUAAACAGAGAUUAUCUCUGUUAACUUAU